GUUACUCAUUGCCAUGUGGGUUGUGUAUCACUGGUGCCUUCUCCAUAGCUCGAUGUAGAGUUGCCAUCAGACUACAGAUACAGGAUUUCCUCAAGUUGCGUUUCAUGGCCUGCGACAUGCAGCAUUCCAUGCCUUUCUGCACCGUCGGCGUUCAUGCCAUCGUCGGCGGCCGGGGCGGCGGAGCAGGCACUGUCAGGCAGCAAGUUGCAUCCGACCCCCAGCACGUGAUGUGGUUCUCAACGACUUUAUAUGCGGCUGAUCGGCGAGGCCUUCGGAUGAGCUGAAGUUCAGGGCAUGACGACGACAUAUGGGGAGGCCUCCGGCCAGUGGGGCCGAACGCGAUGGUGCUGACAGUCAUGGUGACGGCCAGCGCAGGGCACACACGACUCUGAGGCGGCGAGCACGAGGCAGGUGGCUUGCAGGUCUACCAUGCGCGGUGGGCGUUGGCAGGGCUCAGUGUGCUUGCACGCGGAGGCCGUGAGAGCACGCCUCAGCAAGCUGAGGAACCGGUUGCAGGCGGAUGCGUAGAUGUGUAGGAUAGACACGACCUGUUGCGACGCAAGGAACUCGCCGAGCUCCGGCAAGAUCAUGCCGGAGAGCAACACCAUGUGGAUGGCCAGCAUGUCCAGGUUCUCGAGUCUGUCCGAGCUCGCCGCGACGGGGCAGAGAUGCUGGUCUCUGCGAGGCCGGGCAUGCUGAGGUUGGAGCAGUCGAGCAGAUGCCGAUCUCUAGCUCGGAUUCGGCCACUCCGAUGGAGGAUGCCAUGCACUCGACCAUCACGUCGCACAUGCAGAAGGUGGGGCUGUCCAACGGAGAUGUUGUCGCGCGUCCAGAGCGUGCACGGGUGCAACUAGAACUUCAAGGUCGUCAUGACGCUGCUGACGAGCAUCAAGGAAAUCCACAUCGGCACCGCGGGCGCGCGCUCCAUACCAUGGAGCAGAUUUUUGGCGCAGCCGGCGCCAGCGUUCUCCUGAUAGUUUAUGGACAGCCCCUUUUUUCUGUCUUUCUUUUACUUUUGAGCAUUUACUUUGCUAUAUAGGGUUUCUGUUGUAAACUAGAUACGUGAUCUUUUACAUGUAUGCAUAGACCGAAUCAUGCACUUGUGGUGUUGGUUGUGUUUUUGUCUGCGCAGACAAAAACACGCAGCAAAGUGCAAGAGGUCUCUGGCUGCCAGUUUGGGGAGGAGCGGCAGCUCCUUUUCAUGAAAAGCUCAAGGGCUAGCUCAGGCAUGGAGCUGGCCACUAGAAUCCACCAGCAGAACUUCGGCCUGGAGGUCACCGGUUAGCUGACCGCAACCACCGUCACCAAGAUGAUGGUCCCAUGUUGCAGCGUCGAGGGUAUCAUCAACGACACUUCCGUCAUGGAGAAGAUGGCCAAAGACGGCGGUCCACUGAACGAACCUCUACUCCUACUUCCCGGGGUCGCCGUGUUGGCCGCUCUAAGAAGAGACUCAAGUACGCCAUCAUUCCCCUAAAAAAAGUACGCCAUCAUCGUUGUUGACACAUUCCGCACGUACGCGCUCAUGUCUAACCUCCUAUCCAUACUCACUACUACUCCCUCCGUUCCUAAAUAUAAGUCUUUUUAGACAUUUUAAGUGGAAUACAACAUACGAAUGUAUAUGGACAUAUUUUAGAGUGUAGAUUCACUCAUUUUGCUACGUAUGUAGUCACUUGGUGAAAUCUUCAGAAAGACUUAUAUUUUGGAACAGAGGGAAUACAAUGGUAGCUAAAUUGAGUCAAUUUGGUUAGACUGUUAGCCUGGCUUCCUCCAACAUAAUAUUGCAUGUGUGCGCGUAGCGAACUGUUUUUCUGGUCAGUUUUGGGUAUCUGGGUAGACUAUUUGACUACGUGCGUGAGAAUAGGAACGGAUGUGUCUAUGAUGGGUGACUAGCAAGUUAUUUGCUAAGAUUAGUGCUCCGGCUGAUUAUGUUAAGCGGUUCUAUUUUUUUAUUCAUGUGUGUUGGAUGUGGGGAUUUGACAUGGUGUUCGACAUGUUUCUUCGUAGCCGUUUCUUCUUAGUAAAAGGAAUGUUUUACCGUGGACAUGUUGUGUUUUGGUACCUUUUUUUUUGAACUGGUGUUUUGCUACUUUGGUGUUGUUAUCGACGGUGGUCUGCGGUGUCAUUUGGUUGUUAUCUGUUUUAAGUCGACCACCGUUUUCAUAGCUGCCUCUGGCGACUGCUGUUGUUUUAGGUGGUUCUGAUUUGCUGACUGCUUUGCCAUUUAAGGCACGAGCAAAGAUAAAAAAAGAAGGCUAAGCCAGUGCCACAAGAAAAGUAGUAAUAAUACAUUUCUUCUCUCAUUUUUUCUAGGUGGUCAUGUGGUGAUACUUUCCAUCCUUUAUGUCCCAACUAACAAAAAAGAAUUUACGUUCCUGUAUAGCACUGGCUUUAACAGCACAGCUACAAGAUUACCGAUAUGGCCACUGGAACAGACAACACAACAUUGUUCAAGCAUGGAUAAUCAUUGAUACUAUUACUAGGAAAGCAACCAGGCAUCCGUGAACUCAACAAAUCGAUGUUCACCGGCAGUGCAAACAACAAUACUGGAUGAAUCCGAGAAAAGUGUCGCUCAAGCCUCACUUGGUCACCUCUAUAACAACCACGUCAUAGACAUUAAUGAUUAUAGCAUUCAAGCUUCAGAACUGUUCCCUACAUAUAUAUGGAAAUUCGGUGCAAGCAGAAUUUGCCAUCAGAAAAGAUAGUCUCAAGUUUUUUAUUGUUUUAGGAUGACAUUUCAACGAGGGUCUCUAUUCAUAUAUUUAUGUACUAUUCGCCUAAGAUUUGAUUGAGCAUGCACCUCUUGGCUCUCAAAUUAAGGCCUGCCUUUUCUUGUUCUCUUCAAAAUCGGUGGAAGAACAGAAGAGCUCGGGAUGUGCUUUCUUUGGAGAACAAA
Aegilops tauschii subsp. strangulata is the source of this 2893-nucleotide long non-coding RNA. RefSeq lists it as uncharacterized. Lineage: Eukaryota; Viridiplantae; Streptophyta; Magnoliopsida; Poales; Poaceae. The record is from RefSeq and is a predicted model, not a curated record.